CUGCAGUCUCUCUUUAUAUACUCCUCAACACUUUCUCAUCUUCCACACCCCUAAUAACCUCAAAGAGAAGAAGAGCCUUCAUAUUAGUGAGCCUCGAUUGUGCAAUAUGAAGGAAGGUAAAGCCUUUUCAACGCUCGCAAAGGAUUGGGCAAUAAAGAGCAAAGACUGGUGGUUCAAGUGUGGGAGGGGGUGGAAUAAAGAAUGUUUACUCCUAAGCCAACGUGUUAUAUUGGAGUUUGGAAGAGAACACGUUUAUUUUGGAAUGGAAGGAUUGGAAAGAAGGUAAUUAAAGGGCUUUAUGGUCGUCAAGUUUAAACACAGGUGUUCAGGUGUUUAGUGUUUAAACUUGAUCAGGUUUUUUGGACACCAUACGAUAAUUAUUUGCAUCCAUGGUGUCUUGCAGAAAAAUAUAUAUGGACUACAACAGCGCCAUUGUUAUGAUUCCAAAUUUUGAAGUAUUACCAUCCAGAAAGUCAUUCAACAGUUUGGGUUGUUGCAAAGAUAUCCAAAGUGACCUGACAAUUUCAAUAAAUCUGUGCAUUGUGUAAAGUUGAUUGGAAAGUCCGGUGUUAAUUGGCUUAGGAAGCAUGCACUAUACCAUUGACUUUGGAACGAGUGAGUUGAACAUGUAGUUGGGGAUGACAAUUUCCAUUUAGGUGUGGACUAACAUGGUACCAUCAACAUGGUUAUCUAUUCACGACCUCAAAGGCGGCUAUCCAUAUGUACCAGCAAACUGAGAUCAGUAAUAUGUUAAAUUUGGCUGUUGCAAACCAACAGAGGAAUGAUCUCACUACACCAUAAGUCCUUCUAGCAAUAGUAAAGGGCCUUAGUCGAGUGAAGUUAUCGAUGGAAGCAAAUAUUUCUUCCGUCCCUACUGAGAGGGUGACACUUCGGGUCUAACAAUCUGUAUUGCUAGUAAAUCUGUGAAUGGUAAUCCCUUUAUCCUGUCUGCAAAUGUAUUCUUGCAUUUUAAUGGGGUCACGAUGUUAUGCAAAAUUCUAGUGUCUAGAGGUUCAGAAAAUGUUGGUUCGAAUAGAGGGCAUCCUUUUCUACCCUUUUUUUUUAGUAUGUUUUGUUAAAGCUUCUUGGUGAUAUUUCAUCUCUAUUGGUGAGGAACAA
Quercus robur (English oak) is the source of this 1119-nucleotide long non-coding RNA. RefSeq lists it as uncharacterized. The transcript is spliced from 4 exons. Lineage: Eukaryota; Viridiplantae; Streptophyta; Magnoliopsida; Fagales; Fagaceae. The record is from RefSeq and is a predicted model, not a curated record.